RNAcentral lists this ribosomal RNA (1399 nucleotides) under Streptococcus sp. 2010_Ileo_MS_Id. RNAcentral describes it as "bacterial SSU rRNA". It matches the Rfam family "Bacterial small subunit ribosomal RNA". Lineage: Bacteria; Bacillati; Bacillota; Bacilli; Lactobacillales; Streptococcaceae. The record is from RNAcentral.
ACGCUGAAGAGAGGAGCUUGCUCUUCUUGGAUGAGUUGCGAACGGGUGAGUAACGCGUAGGUAACCUGCCUUGUAGCGGGGGAUAACUAUUGGAAACGAUAGCUAAUACCGCAUAACAAUGGAUGACACAUGUCAUUUAUUUGAAAGGGGCAAUUGCUCCACUACAAGAUGGACCUGCGUUGUAUUAGCUAGUAGGUGAGGUAACGGCUCACCUAGGCGACGAUACAUAGCCGACCUGAGAGGGUGAUCGGCCACACUGGGACUGAGACACGGCCCAGACUCCUACGGGAGGCAGCAGUAGGGAAUCUUCGGCAAUGGGGGCAACCCUGACCGAGCAACGCCGCGUGAGUGAAGAAGGUUUUCGGAUCGUAAAGCUCUGUUGUAAGUCAAGAACGAGUGUGAGAGUGGAAAGUUCACACUGUGACGGUAGCUUACCAGAAAGGGACGGCUAACUACGUGCCAGCAGCCGCGGUAAUACGUAGGUCCCGAGCGUUGUCCGGAUUUAUUGGGCGUAAAGCGAGCGCAGGCGGUUUGAUAAGUCUGAAGUUAAAGGCUGUGGCUCAACCAUAGUUCGCUUUGGAAACUGUCAAACUUGAGUGCAGAAGGGGAGAGUGGAAUUCCAUGUGUAGCGGUGAAAUGCGUAGAUAUAUGGAGGAACACCGGUGGCGAAAGCGGCUCUCUGGUCUGUAACUGACGCUGAGGCUCGAAAGCGUGGGGAGCGAACAGGAUUAGAUACCCUGGUAGUCCACGCCGUAAACGAUGAGUGCUAGGUGUUGGAUCCUUUCCGGGAUUCAGUGCCGCAGCUAACGCAUUAAGCACUCCGCCUGGGGAGUACGACCGCAAGGUUGAAACUCAAAGGAAUUGACGGGGGCCCGCACAAGCGGUGGAGCAUGUGGUUUAAUUCGAAGCAACGCGAAGAACCUUACCAGGUCUUGACAUCCCGAUGCUAUUUCUAGAGAUAGAAAGUUACUUCGGUACAUCGGUGACAGGUGGUGCAUGGUUGUCGUCAGCUCGUGUCGUGAGAUGUUGGGUUAAGUCCCGCAACGAGCGCAACCCCUAUUGUUAGUUGCCAUCAUUCAGUUGGGCACUCUAGCGAGACUGCCGGUAAUAAACCGGAGGAAGGUGGGGAUGACGUCAAAUCAUCAUGCCCCUUAUGACCUGGGCUACACACGUGCUACAAUGGUUGGUACAACGAGUUGCGAGUCGGUGACGGCAAGCUAAUCUCUUAAAGCCAAUCUCAGUUCGGAUUGUAGGCUGCAACUCGCCUACAUGAAGUCGGAAUCGCUAGUAAUCGCGGAUCAGCACGCCGCGGUGAAUACGUUCCCGGGCCUUGUACACACCGCCCGUCACACCACGAGAGUUUGUAACACCCGAAGUCGGUGAGGUAACCUUUGGAGCC